Molecule: non-coding RNA, 285 nt
Organism: Cinara cedri
Lineage: Eukaryota; Metazoa; Arthropoda; Insecta; Hemiptera; Aphididae
Source: the annotation of a GenBank genome assembly
AUUUACUCAUUCACCAUUUUUCUCUGUGAUUAAUCACAUACAUGUUUGGGUGACGCAUUAAGAUUGAGCUAAAAUUUAGCCCCCAAAAUAACCUAACGUCUAGGCUAAAAAAAUAAAUAAAAAAUCAGUGCGGCUAUGGAAAUAUUUAAAGAGACCAGAAAUUCAUAUAUUAGAAACAUACCGACGUCAACUUUUACUUAUUCUAGCAAUGUCACCUUUUACAAUGUCCACGAGUGAAAGGUCUUUUUAAACUUUAAUAAGGAUUAAACCGUAUUGAGAUGCCGA